UACGGGGGGGGCAAGCGUUGUUCGGAAUUACUGGGCGUAAAGGGCUCGUAGGCGGCCAACUAAGUCAGACGUGAAAUCCCUCGGCUUAACCGGGGAACUGCGUCUGAUACUGGAUGGCUUGAGUUUGGGAGAGGGAUGCGGAAUUCCAGGUGUAGCGGUGAAAUGCGUAGAUAUCUGGAGGAACACCGGUGGCGAAGGCGGCAUCCUGGGCCAGAACUGACGGUGAGUGAGCGAAAGCCAGGGGAGCAAACGGG
Molecule: ribosomal RNA, 254 nt
Filed under: uncultured bacterium
Lineage: Bacteria
Description: partial 16S ribosomal RNA
Rfam family: Bacterial small subunit ribosomal RNA
Source: RNAcentral